This 253-nucleotide ribosomal RNA is filed under the name uncultured bacterium. RNAcentral describes it as "partial 16S ribosomal RNA". It matches the Rfam family "Bacterial small subunit ribosomal RNA", at positions 524 to 776 of the family's 1533-position model. The record is from RNAcentral.
UACGAAGGGGGCUAGCGUUGCUCGGAAUCACUGGGCGUAAAGGGUGCGUAGGCGGGUCUUUAAGUCGGGGGUGAAAUCCUGGAGCUCAACUCCAGAACUGCCUUCGAUACUGGAAGACUCGAGUCCGGGAGAGGUGAGUGGAACUGCGAGUGUAGAGGUGAAAUUCGUAGAUAUUCGCAAGAACACCAGUGGCGAAGGCGGCUCACUGGCCCGGUACUGACGCUGAGGUGCGAAAGCGUGGGGAGCAAACAGG